UCUGGGAAGAGUGGUGGCACACACCUGUGGUCUCAGCUACUCUGAAGGCUGAGUCUGCUGGAUUGCUUGAGUCUGCGCUAAGGCCAGCAUCAAUAUGGUGAGCCCUGAGGAGCCAGGGCACACUAGGUUGACUAAGGAGGUGUGAACCGGCCCAGGUCAGAGACUGAGAAGGUCAAAGCUCACAUGCUAGUCAGUAGUGGGAUUGUACCUGUGAAUAGCCNCUGCAGCGUAGCCU
Amazona aestiva (blue-fronted amazon) is the source of this 235-nucleotide non-coding RNA. The record is from Rfam. Lineage: Eukaryota; Metazoa; Chordata; Aves; Psittaciformes; Psittacidae.